RNAcentral lists this ribosomal RNA (497 nucleotides) under uncultured bacterium. RNAcentral describes it as "partial 16S ribosomal RNA". It matches the Rfam family "Bacterial small subunit ribosomal RNA", at positions 28 to 507 of the family's 1533-position model. The record is from RNAcentral.
GAUGAACGCUGGCGGCGUGCCUAAUACAUGCAAGUCGAGCGAACAGACGAGGAGCUUGCUCCUUCGACGUUAGCGGCGGACGGGUGAGUAACACGUAGGUAACCUACCUAUAAGACUGGGAUAACUUCGGGAAACCGGAGCUAAUACCGGAUAAUAUUUCGAACCGCAUGGUUCGAUAGUGAAAGAUGGCUUUGCUAUCACUUUUAGAUGGACCUGCGCCGUAUUAGCUAGUUGGUAAGGUAACGGCUUACCAAGGCAACGAUACGUAGCCGACCUGAGAGGGUGAUCGGCCACACUGGAACUGAGACACGGUCCAGACUCCUACGGGAGGCAGCAGUAGGGAAUCUUCCGCAAAGGGCGAAAGCCUGACGGAGCAACGCCGCGUGAGUGAUGAAGGUCUUCGGAUCGUAAAACUCUGUUAUUAGGGAAGAACAAACGUGUAAGUAACUGUGCACGUCUUGACGGUACCUAAUCAGAAAGCCACGGCUAACUACGUG